Molecule: unclassified non-coding RNA, 219 nt
Filed under: soil metagenome
Description: partial contains 5.8S ribosomal RNA, internal transcribed spacer 2, and large subunit ribosomal RNA
Source: RNAcentral
AACGCACGAGACCUGCGGACCUGCGGAAGGAUCAUUACCGAGUUCGGUGCCCUCUGGGUGCCUUCUCCCACCAUCUGUGUACCCAUUCUUGUUGCUUUGGCGGGGCGUGGUUCGCCCCUCCGGCUUCGGCUGGAGUGUCCCCGCCAGAGGUUUUCAAACUCGAUUAAUUUGAAGUCUGAGUAAAACUUAAAAAAUUAAAACUUUUAGCAAUGGAUCUCU